CUGCCCUGCACUCUGGGACAAGYCCUGGAAACGGGGUCUAAUACCGGAUACAACCACUAGGGGCAUCUCUUGGUGGUGGAAAGCUCCGGCGGUGCAGGAUGAGCCCGCGGCCUAUCAGCUAGUUGGUGAGGUAAUGGCUCACCAAGGCGACGACGGGUAGCCGGCCUGAGAGGGCGACCGGCCACACUGGGACUGAGACACGGCCCAGACUCCUACGGGAGGCAGCAGUGGGGAAUAUUGCACAAUGGGCGAAAGCCUGAUGCAGCGACGCCGCGUGAGGGAUGACGGCCUUCGGGUUGUAAACCUCUUUCAGCAGGGAAGAAGCGAAAGUGACGGUACCUGCAGAAGAAGCGCCGGCUAACUACGUGCCAGCAGCCGCGGUAAUACGUAGGGCGCGAGCGUUGUCCGGAAUUAUUGGGCGUAAAGAGCUCGUAGGCGGCUUGUCACGUCGGUUGUGAAAGCCCGGGGCUUAACCCCGGGUCUGCAGUCGAUACGGGCAGGCUAGAGUUCGGUAGGGGAGAUCGGAAUUCCUGGUGUAGCGGUGAAAUGCGCAGAUAUCAGGAGGAACACCGGUGGCGAAGGCGGAUCUCUGGGCCGAUACUGACGCUGAGGAGCGAAAGCGUGGGGA
Molecule: ribosomal RNA, 628 nt
Filed under: Streptomyces sp. BLA15
Lineage: Bacteria; Bacillati; Actinomycetota; Actinomycetes; Kitasatosporales; Streptomycetaceae
Description: bacterial SSU rRNA
Rfam family: Bacterial small subunit ribosomal RNA
Source: RNAcentral